UGGGGAAUAUUGCACAAUGGGCGCAAGCCUGAUGCAGCAACGCCGCGUGAACGAUGAAGGUUUUCGGAUCGUAAAACUCUGUUGUAAGAGAAGAACAAAUUGUAGAGUAACUGCUACAGUCUUGACGGUAUCUUACCAGAAAGCCACGGCUAACUACGUGCCAGCAGCCGCGGUAAUACGUAGGUGGCAAGCGUUGUCCGGAUUUAUUGGGCGUAAAGGGGGCGCAGGCUGCUUCUUAAGUCUGAUGUGAAAGCCCACGGCUUAACCGUGGAAGUGCAUUGGAAACUGGGAAGCUUGAGUACAGAAGAGGAAAGUGGAACUCCAUGUGUAGCGGUGGAAUGCGUAGAUAUAUGGAAGAACACCAGUGGCGAAAGCGACUUUCUGGUCUGUCACUGACGCUGAGGCCCGAAAGCGUGGGUAGCAAACAGG
RNAcentral lists this ribosomal RNA (429 nucleotides) under Verrucomicrobiota bacterium. RNAcentral describes it as "Verrucomicrobia bacterium partial 16S ribosomal RNA". It matches the Rfam family "Bacterial small subunit ribosomal RNA", at positions 355 to 776 of the family's 1533-position model. Lineage: Bacteria; Pseudomonadati; Verrucomicrobiota. The record is from RNAcentral.